This 347-nucleotide ribosomal RNA is filed under the name Alexandrium margalefii. RNAcentral's name for it is "partial Bacterial small subunit ribosomal RNA". It matches the Rfam family "Bacterial small subunit ribosomal RNA", at positions 8 to 348 of the family's 1533-position model. The record is from RNAcentral. Lineage: Eukaryota; Dinophyceae; Gonyaulacales; Pyrocystaceae.
AGAGUUUGAUCCUGGCUCAGGAUGAACGCUAGCGGCAGGCCUAACACAUGCAAGUCGAGGGGCAUCACGGAAAAGCUUGCUUUUCUGGUGGCGACCGGCGCACGGGUGCGUAACGCGUAUGCAACCUACCCAUUACAGGGGGAUAGCCCGGGGAAACUCGGAUUAAUACCCCAUAGUUUCCUGUUUUUGCAUAAUUACAGGAAUAAAGAUUUAUCGGUAGUGGAUGGGCAUGCGUCUGAUUAGCUAGUUGGUGAGGUAACGGCUCACCAAGGCGACGAUCAGUAGGGGGUCUGAGAGGAUGAUCCCCCACACUGGUACUGAGACACGGACCAGACUCCUACGGGAGG